UUUUGUAGGUAUAAGGAAAUCAAAUGGGAUCCGAAACAAUUGAUUGGAUAUGGUGGAAUGUCGUCUUCGUAUUCAGCUACUGUUAUUGCUGUUACUACGGCGAUCUGAAGAUGGAGCAAGAAACCAGUGUCUAAUACUGGGGCAAUUUUAUUCUUUUGACUGUCAUGGUUCCGUUGAAACAUGUGCAUAUGAUUUAGGUAUGAAGUCUGUUGGUGUGAAAGUGGCUAAAGAAUAUGGAUCAAUAAAGGUAGUGUAAGCUUACCAUUGGUUUCUAUAUGAUAAAUAUUUGUAUGUUCAUUUAUUGUUAUUUGUAUUUCGCUCAGGUUGAUGAAUACUCUCAAACACAGGUUCCUUAUAUUUUUAUCACCGAGUUGUCUUUGGCUAUUUUAACAGUAUGUGCAGCCCUGAAAGAACAAAUGCUUUUGAUGAAUGAAAAAAGACUCCUUUCAGUCUUAUCUGCCAUCACUGAACUCAUUGAUGCCCUUUCAGAUCAACGCUCAAAUUCACACACUGGAUUAUCACUUCAAAUUCAAUGAUUUGAUUAAUUGAAAUAAGUUUAUUCCUUUUUAACCUUUCGAGUUUUGAUUUACCCUUUUGCUUCAUUUCACUAUAUGAUCGAGUUUUACUUCUAUUUACAGUUACUAGGAAGUUGAGAAGUUGAUGUUUAAGUCUCU
This is a long non-coding RNA of Vicia villosa (hairy vetch), 674 nucleotides long. RefSeq lists it as uncharacterized. The transcript has 3 exons. Lineage: Eukaryota; Viridiplantae; Streptophyta; Magnoliopsida; Fabales; Fabaceae. The record is from RefSeq and is a predicted model, not a curated record.